Long non-coding RNA from Myotis lucifugus (little brown bat), 640 nucleotides. RefSeq lists it as uncharacterized. NCBI's taxonomy places the organism in Eukaryota, Metazoa, Chordata, Mammalia, Chiroptera, Vespertilionidae. The record is from RefSeq and is a predicted model, not a curated record. The transcript is spliced from 2 exons.
CCUUUUUCUUCCCUCCCACGACCCUGGGAUGGAGGAAGAGGGUCUGGUUAACAGUCACACUGCAGAGGGAGUAAUUCCCUCCCCCUCCACAGGUCCUGUAUAGCGCCCCCCCUCCCCCCCACAGCCCGGGGAAAAUGAGUAAGAGCAGGAAGUGGAAAACACUUCGCAGAAAAAGUUCCCGGGAGAUAGAAACCCUACCUGGUCUCACGUUCUAUUCCCAGCUCCAGGACCCUGUCCGGCACAUCACAGGCACACAGCGUGCUAGCUGAACCGAACCUCGCUGUGUGGGUCUGAUGCUACGAGGACCCCUCCAGGUUCCUGCCUCCUGGGAUUUAUGUCCUAGAGACCUGCUCCUACCAACAGAACAUGGCAAAGGUUUGCCAGAUGGCGUGGGUCUUGCUGAGGUCCGGGACCGAGGGGGCGCGCAUGGAACUGGUGCGGCUUCAAAGCUCCUUUUUAAUCUUUAGCAACAUCACAGCGGCUGGGAAACUGCCUCGCGCUCUCAAGUCUCCCCCACAAAAGAGGCGCGGCCGCGGCUCUAAUGAAAGCCAGAUAAAGGGAUGGCUGGGAUCAGGAACAGAGGGAAAAGAGCAGUCGUUAGUCUUUCUUGUAGCUGUUUCAAAAGAAAUUCUAAGACAAA